AUCCUGGCUCAGAAUCAACGCUGGCGGCGCGCUUAACACAUGCAAGUCGAACGAGAAAGGGGAGCAAUCCCCGAGUAAAGUGGCGUACGGGUGAGUAACACGUGGGUAAUCCGCCUUCUGGUGGGGAAUAACUCUGGGAAACCGGAGCUAAUACCGCAUAAGACCGAAAGGUGAAAGGCGCAAGUCGCCGGAAGAGGAGCCCGCGGCUGAUUAGUUAGCUGGUGGGGUAAAGGCUUACCAGGGCGAUGAUCAGUAGCCGGCCUGAGAGGGCACACGGCCACACUGGCACUGAAACACGGGCCAGACUCCUACGGGAGGCAGCAGUGGGGAAUCUUGCACAAUGGGGGAAACCCUGAUGCAGCGACGCCGCGUGAGUGAUGAAGCCCUUCGGGGUGUAAAGCUCUUUCGGCAGGGACGAUAAUGACGGUACCUGAAGAAGAAGCUGCGG
Molecule: ribosomal RNA, 448 nt
Filed under: uncultured bacterium
Lineage: Bacteria
Description: bacterial SSU rRNA
Rfam family: Bacterial small subunit ribosomal RNA
Source: RNAcentral